CGGCGAACGGGUGAGUAACGCGUGGAUGACCUACCUUGAGGUGGGGGAUAACUCGGGGAAACUCGAGCUAAUACCGCAUACGAUCGAGAGAUCAAAGGGGCGCAAGUCCUGCCAUGAGAGGGGUCCGCGUACGAUUAGCUAGUUGGUAGGGUAAUGGCCUACCAAGGCGACGAUCGUUAGCCGGCCUGAGAGGGUGAUCGGCCACACUGGAACUGAGACACGGUCCAG
Molecule: ribosomal RNA, 228 nt
Filed under: uncultured bacterium
Lineage: Bacteria
Description: partial 16S ribosomal RNA
Rfam family: Bacterial small subunit ribosomal RNA
Source: RNAcentral